GAGGAGGGGGCUGUGUCCUCCCAGCUGGAGGCUUCCAAGUCAAGAGAGGGAGGCCUUCCUCCUCCAGCCCCACCUCCUGUGCCCACAGAACCUGAAGCCCUCCCUUAGAAAUGACCAAGAGGAGGGCCUGGGGGAGGUGCUUGCAGGCUGGACAUGGGGGUGGGUCUUGCCUGGGACCACUGACCUAGUGGUUUGCCCAAAGGAGGUCCUGGGAGCUGAUCAAGAGGAGUUUCUGGAGAGUGAGGGAAGGGACAAUUGAGUGGAGGCCCUAAGGGACCUGGGCUGCUCCACAUGGGAAGCCUGGGGUGGCCAGGAGGCUGAGGGUGGGAGGCUUUCAGGAGAGGGCGUGUGCGGCACCUGAGAGCAGGGGCUCAUCCCACCCUCACCCUGUUUGUCCAGUGUGUUCCCUUCCUGGGAGAAUACCUCAAAGAUCUGAAGGUGAUGGACACCAGGAUAGAGGAUGAUCUGGAGGUGAAUAAAGUACUGGAGUAGAUAGUGGUUCUGCAUGAGGCUGCCCAGAAAUACAAAAUAGAGCCUGAGGAGCAAUUCCAGGCCUGGUUCUGGGCCCUGGAGCAGCUCAGCAAGAAUGAGAGUUACAUCCGGUCCUGCCAGCUGGAGCCACAGUCCUAGGUGGCCAGGGGAAAAACUCAUAAAAUCAAGUCAAUGAAUGAUUGACUGCAGAUGUGGAAAUUAUUCUCAACAUAAUGUCUAUUUUUUAGAUUAAGAAAUAACUAUACAAAUAUUUGUAUUUAUCCUUUCAGAUAUCCUCAUAAUACAUGUAAAUAUACACUUAC
Long non-coding RNA from Myotis davidii, 794 nucleotides. RefSeq lists it as uncharacterized. The record is from RefSeq and is a predicted model, not a curated record. NCBI's taxonomy places the organism in Eukaryota, Metazoa, Chordata, Mammalia, Chiroptera, Vespertilionidae. The transcript has 3 exons.